CUUAUAAGUAUUGGAGGUCCCGCCUGCCCAGUGACUCUUUAAACGGCCGCGGUAUCCUAACCGUGCAAAGGUAGCAUAAUCACUUGUCCCCUAAAUAGGGACUGGUAUGAAUGGCUAAAUGAGGACUAAACUGUCUCUUGCGGACUGGCCAAUGAAAUUGAUUUUCCAGUACAAAAGCUGGAAUGUACCCAUAAGACGAGAAGACCCUGUGGAGCUUCAAAACCAAAUCACCCAGCAUGUUCAUUGGAUUUUUAGUUGGGGCGACUUCGGAAUAUAAUAAAACUUCCAAAAUAAAUUAAUUUCAUCAAGAUUAACACACCAAAAUUUCUUUAUAGAUCCAGCAAAUAAUUUUAUUUAUCUGAUCAAUGAACCAAGUUACCCCAGGGAUAACAGCGCAAUCUCCUUUUAGAGUCCAUAUCGACAAGGGGGUUUACGACCUCGAUGUUGGAUCAGGACACCCCAAUGGUGCAGCCGCCAUUAAAGGUUCGUUUGUUCAACGAUUAACAGUCCUACGUGAUCUGAGUUCAGACCGGA
RNAcentral lists this ribosomal RNA (534 nucleotides) under Lacerta viridis meridionalis. RNAcentral's name for it is "partial 16S ribosomal RNA". It matches the Rfam family "Bacterial large subunit ribosomal RNA", at positions 1836 to 2620 of the family's 2925-position model. Lineage: Eukaryota; Metazoa; Chordata; Lepidosauria; Squamata; Lacertidae. The record is from RNAcentral.